RNAcentral lists this long non-coding RNA (647 nucleotides) under Pomacea canaliculata. RNAcentral describes it as "uncharacterized LOC112576897, transcript variant X2". The record is from RNAcentral. Lineage: Eukaryota; Metazoa; Mollusca; Gastropoda; Architaenioglossa; Ampullariidae.
UCAAACAACAGAAAAUGAGAAGAAAACACACACAAAUAUGGCAGCAGACUUGCCACCAAGUAAGGUGACAGAACAUGUGAAGGAGGGAACUCUGCCAGACAGGUGAAUGCACUAACCACCAGAAUAUUGGCAUCAUCACUUGAGCACCCCAUUGAUGCUCUGCAAGGAGUACAAGAGGAGACAAACCUCAAACUGCAGCAGUAGAAGGCAGUAUCCAGGGAGUGUCUAACGCAGCAUUAGUCCAGCACAUUCUCAAACAAGGCACAGACUUAAAAUUGAUUCUGCAGGAAGCAAAAGAUAUGCUGAAUCAUUUGACUGCUCUGCUAAGCAAAGACAAACCUACUCCAGCACUCUGGCAGGAGCUGUUAGAGCUGCAAGGAUGCCUUAAUGAUGACUCAUGAAUUACUUGAUGUUUAUGUUUCUGCCCCUUAUUCAAGAAACAACCUUCAUCCACGAACACUCAUGUAACACCAUAUACUCGCGUCAGAUAAGAGUUUUUGACGCAUUGGAAUAUGUUACUCCAGACUGAGGUGCAUCACCAUUGGAAAGGUCUGUGAUAAGCAGAUAAAUUCCACAAGGAAAGGUGUGCAAUAAAUAUUAGCGCUUCAAUGGAUACUUGUUAGGUGUGGCACAAAAAUGAGAAACAC